GAAAGGAAGAUUAAUACAAGAUGGCAUCAUGAGUCCACAUGUUCACAUGAUUAAAGGUAUUCCGGUAGACGAUGGGGAUGCGUUCCAUUAGAUAGUAGGCGGGGUAACGGCCCACCUAGUCUUCGAUGGAUAGGGGUUCUGAGAGGAAGGUCCCCCACAUUGGAACUGAGACACGGUCCAAACUCCUACGGGAGGCAGCAGUGAGGAAUAUUGGUCAAUGGGCGAGAGCCUGAACCAGCCAAGUAGCGUGAAGGAUGACUGCCUUAUGGGUUGUAAACUUCUUUUAUAAAGGAAUAAAGUCGGGUAUGGAUACCCGUUUGCAUGUACUUUAUGAAUAAGGAUCGGCUAACUCCGUGCCAGCAGCCGCGGUAAUACGGAGGAUCCGAGCGUUAUCCGGAUUUAUUGGGUUUAAAGGGAGCGUAGAUGGAUGUUUAAGUCAGUUGUGAAAGUUUGCGGCUCAACCGUAAAAUUGCAGUUGAUACUGGAUAUCUUGAGUGCAGUUGAGGCAGGCGGAAUUCGUGGUGUAGCGGUGAAAUGCUUAGAUAUCACGAAGAACUCCGAUUGCGAAGGCAGCCUGCUAAGCUGCAACUGACAUUGAGGCUCGAAAGUGUGGGUAUCAAACAGGAUUAGAUACCCUGGUAGUCCACACGGUAAACGAUGAAUACUCGCUGUUUGCGAUAUACGGCAAGCGGCCAAGCGAAAGCGUUAAGUAUUCCACCUGGGGAGUA
This 728-nucleotide ribosomal RNA is filed under the name uncultured bacterium. RNAcentral describes it as "bacterial SSU rRNA". It matches the Rfam family "Bacterial small subunit ribosomal RNA", at positions 153 to 882 of the family's 1533-position model. The record is from RNAcentral.